UACGGAGGGUGCGAGCGUUGUCCGGAUUUAUUGGGCGUAAAGAGCUCGUAGGCGGCUUGUCGCGUCGUCCGUGAAAACCUGCGGCUCAACUGCAGGCUGGCGGUCGAUACGGGCAGGCUGGAGUUCGGUAGGGGAGACUGGAAUUCCUGGUGUAGCGGUGAAAUGCGUAGAUAUCGAGAGGAACACCUGCGGCGAAGGCGGGUUGCUGGGCUGACACUGACGCUGAACUGCGAAAGCUAGGGGAGCGAACGGG
RNAcentral lists this ribosomal RNA (253 nucleotides) under uncultured bacterium. RNAcentral's name for it is "partial 16S ribosomal RNA". It matches the Rfam family "Bacterial small subunit ribosomal RNA", at positions 524 to 776 of the family's 1533-position model. The record is from RNAcentral.